AGCGAACGCUGGCGGCAGGCUUAACACAUGCAAGUCGAACGGGCGUAGCAAUACGUCAGUGGCAGAUGGGUGAGUAACGCGUGGGAACGUACCUUUUGGUUCGGAACAACCCAGGGAAACUUGGGCUAAUACCGGAUAAGCCCUUACGGGGAAAGAUUUAUCGCCGAAAGAUCGGCCCGCGUCUGAUUAGCUAGUUGGUGUGGUAACGGCGCACCAAGGCGACGAUCAGUAGCUGGUCUGAGAGGAUGAUCAGCCACAUUGGGACUGAGACACGGCCAAACUCCUACGGGAGGCAGCAGUGGGGAAUAUUGGACAAUGGGCGCAAGCCUGAUCCAGCCAUGCCGCGUGAGUGAUGAAGGCCCUAGGGUUGUAAAGCUCUUUUGUGCGGGAAGAUAAUGACGGUACCGCAAGAAUAAGCCCCGGCUAACUUCGUGCC
This 436-nucleotide ribosomal RNA is filed under the name uncultured bacterium. RNAcentral describes it as "bacterial SSU rRNA". It matches the Rfam family "Bacterial small subunit ribosomal RNA", at positions 29 to 509 of the family's 1533-position model. The record is from RNAcentral.